This 348-nucleotide long non-coding RNA is filed under the name Ananas comosus (pineapple). RNAcentral's name for it is "long non-coding RNA (ACOM_LNC022148)". Lineage: Eukaryota; Viridiplantae; Streptophyta; Magnoliopsida; Poales; Bromeliaceae. The record is from RNAcentral.
UUGACAAAAAGUGAAGGAAAUUUUAAUUGAUUUAAUAGUUGAUAGGUAAUGAGAUUGUUAAAUCUAACAAAUCUUCCAACCAAUUUAGAAAAAUAACUCGCAUUGAAAUAAUUCAAGAUUGGUGAGAUAUUAAUCAAAUUAAUAUAGUUGAGGGGUCUAAUUUAAAGUGACUUUUAGUCGAACUCAUUGACUACACCUAAUAUACAUAUACAUUUCAUACACACCAGUAAAUUUGUAUAAUAGGGAUGGCAAAAUAAAAGAUUAAUUAAUUUAAAUUAUUUUAUAGUAUUUAGAAUGUCUAUAUGUUAAUAGAUAUAUUCAAUAAAAUAAAAUUAUAUUUUUCUUAUU